GUUUCCGUAAUGUAGCGGUUAUCACGUUCGCCUAACACGCGAAAGGUUCCCGGUUCGAGCCCGGGCGGAAAUG
RNAcentral lists this transfer RNA (73 nucleotides) under Saccoglossus kowalevskii. Its description in RNAcentral is "tRNA-Val". The record is from RNAcentral. Lineage: Eukaryota; Metazoa; Hemichordata; Enteropneusta; Harrimaniidae.